GGAAUCUUGGACAAUGGGGGCAACCCUGAUCCAGCGACGCCGCGUGGGUGAUGAAGGCCUUCGGGUUGUAAAGCCCUUUCACCGGGGACGAUGCUGACGGUACCCGGAGCAGAAGCACCGGCUAACUCCGUGCCAGCAGCCGCGGUAAGACGGAGGGUGCGAGCGUUGUUCGGAAUCACUGGGCGUAAAGGGCGCGUAGGCGGCCUGGGAAGUCGGCUGGUGAAAGCCCGGGGCUCAACCCCGGAGGUGCGGCCGAGACUCCUAGGCUCGAGGCCGGUAGAGGAGGGUGGAAUACCCAGUGUAGAGGUGAAAUUCGUAGAUAUUGGGUGGAACACCGGUGGCGAAAGCGGCUCUCUGGUCCGGUCCUGACGCUGAGGCGCGAAAGCGUGGGGAGCAAAC
This 399-nucleotide ribosomal RNA is filed under the name uncultured bacterium. Its description in RNAcentral is "bacterial SSU rRNA". It matches the Rfam family "Bacterial small subunit ribosomal RNA", at positions 358 to 773 of the family's 1533-position model. The record is from RNAcentral.